This 301-nucleotide ribosomal RNA is filed under the name uncultured bacterium. RNAcentral's name for it is "partial 16S ribosomal RNA". It matches the Rfam family "Bacterial small subunit ribosomal RNA", at positions 509 to 807 of the family's 1533-position model. The record is from RNAcentral.
CAGUAGCCACGGUAAUACGAAAGGUCCAAGCGUUACUCGGAAUUACUGGGCGUAAAGCGCGCGUAGGCGGUCUUGUAUGUCGAUUGUGAAAGCCCCGGGCUCAACCUGGGAACUGCAGUCGAAACUGCAAGACUUGAAUGUUGGAGAGGUUGGGGGAAUACCUAGUGGAGAAGUGAAAUUCGUAGAGAUUAGGUGGAACACCAGAGGCGAAGGCGCCUGACUGGCCAAACAUUGACGCUAAGGCGCGAAAGCGUGGGUAGCAAACAGGAUUAGAUACCCCGGUAGUCCCUGUCUCUUAUAC